Molecule: ribosomal RNA, 370 nt
Filed under: uncultured organism
Description: bacterial LSU rRNA
Rfam family: Bacterial large subunit ribosomal RNA
Source: RNAcentral
UGAUGAAUUGGACUUUACUUGCGCAGUAUAGGUGGGAGGCGUUGAUAAUAUUCUUGCGGGAUUAUUGGAGCCAUCAGUGAGAUACCACUCUUGUAAUGUUAGAUUUCUAACUUUGUAUCAUUAUCUGGUCAAAGGACAGUUUCAGGCGGGCAGUUUGACUGGGGCGGUCGCCUCCCAAACGGUAACGGAGGCGCACAAAGGUUUCCUCUGAACGGGUAGAAAUCGUAUCUAGAGUGUAAAGGCAUAAGGAAGCUUGACUGUGAGACCUACAAGUCGAGCAGGGACGAAAGUCGGUCUUAGUGAUCUGACGGUGCUGAGUGGAAAGGCCGUCACUCAACGGAUAAAAGUUACUCUAGGGAAACAGGCUGAA